Molecule: long non-coding RNA, 964 nt
Filed under: Homo sapiens (human)
Lineage: Eukaryota; Metazoa; Chordata; Mammalia; Primates; Hominidae
Description: HSALNT0078624
Source: RNAcentral
CAAAUAUUCAUCUGGACCAUUCUGUAGCCAUGCACUGAUGAAACCCACAUCAGAAAUGUAACUCCAAAUGACCCAAAGAAUAGUGGAUGAGGAAAGAUGUUUUCCGCUUCAUUUAUCAGGAAGAUGCAUGGAAUGUUCUUCCUCCCAGAAAUCCACAGAGCUGGCUGCCUCUUCAGUUCUCUUUACUAAUGUGAUCUUAUCAGGAAGGCACUCCCAAGCUACUCUUCCCUGAACUAGUGGCAGCCUCCUCCUGCUGGUCCCCAGCACACCCCUGCUGCAUGUUACCCACCAUUAACAUGUUUAUUGUCUUCUCCCACCACAAUGUAAGGGCCAGGUGAGGUGUCAGAGCCCUGGCAUCAGAAAGUAGUAGACUUGUGGGGAGUAAGAAUAAUUUACUGACAACAGUAUAGGUUUGAAAGAAAAGUUUUAUUAGAUAGAAAGUACUCUGCAUAAGCAGCAGAAGAGUGCAGUGGGGCGCCUCAGCAAGAGAGGGCUGAGCACACCACAGUGGAUUUUUCCUUCGGGGUAUUCAUGGACCUUAAAGCAGGAGCUGAAGGGUAAUUUGGUCCAUAUUAGCCAUGUAGGUCCUGACAAAUAUUGCAGCACUAUUCACAAUAGCAAAGACUUGGAACCAACCCAAAUAUCCAUCAAUGAUAGACUGGAUUAAGAAAAUGUGGCACAUACACACCAUGGAAUACUAUGCAGCCAUAAAAAAGGAUGAGUUCUUGUCCUUUGUAGGGACAUGGAUGAAGCUGGAAACCAUCAUUCUGAGAAAACUAUCUCAAGGACAGAAAACCAAACACCACAUGUUCUCACUCAUAGGUGGGAAUUGAACAAUGAGAACACUUGGACAUAGGGUGGGGAACACCACACACCAGGGCCUGUUGUGGGGUUGGGCGGUGGGGGAGGGAUAGCAUUAGGAGAUAUACCUAAUGUAAAUGAUGAGUUAAUGGGUGCAACACAC